This 477-nucleotide ribosomal RNA is filed under the name uncultured bacterium. RNAcentral's name for it is "bacterial SSU rRNA". It matches the Rfam family "Bacterial small subunit ribosomal RNA", at positions 28 to 507 of the family's 1533-position model. The record is from RNAcentral.
GACGAACGCUGGCGGCACGCUUAACACAUGCAAGUCGAACGAAAAUGUUUCACCGUAGCUUGCUACACCGAGACAUUUUAGUGGCGGACGGGUGAGUAACACGUGAGGAACCUGCCUAUCAGAGAGGGAUACCGUUUGGAAACGAACGUUAAUACCUCAUAACGUAACGAGAUCGCAUGAUAAUGUUACCAAAGAUUUAUCGCUUAUGGAUGGACUCGCGUCUGAUUAGAUAGUUGGUGAGGUAACGGCUCACCAAGUCGACGAUCAGUAGCCGAACUGAGAGGUUGAUCGGCCGCAUUGGGACUGAGACACGGCCCAGACUCCUACGGGAGGCAGCAGUGGGGAAUAUUGCGCAAUGGGGGAAACCCUGACGCAGCAACGCCGCGUGCAGGAAGAAGGUCUUCGGAUUGUAAACUGUUGUCGCAAGGGAAGAAGACAGUGACGGUACCUUGUGAGAAAGUCACGGCUAACUACGUG